Long non-coding RNA from Zonotrichia albicollis (white-throated sparrow), 1576 nucleotides. The record is from Ensembl. NCBI's taxonomy places the organism in Eukaryota, Metazoa, Chordata, Aves, Passeriformes, Passerellidae.
CCGCCUCGAUGGGUAAGAGAUAUACGGGGACCGGGGAGGGCCGGGGGACCCGGUGCCACCCUGCGACUGGACGCUGUGCCACCAUCUGUGACACGGGGAUCCCGCUGGGUGGGAGGGACUUCGUGCCACCGGCCGUGGCUGUGAGUCGUGUCACACACGGCCCCUUUCACCGGGGGUUGCUUGCAACAAAGUGUCCCCCUGGGCACUGUGCCCACUGCCCCCGAACCCGCCUCCCAUUCGCCGCUUUCGGGGUGACCCCGGGAGCAGCAGGGACGGACGGAGCCGGUGGCUGACCGAGCCGGGAUGCGCAGCCCCGGGGAACCUGGGGGCUUCCUAUGGACGAGCCCUGUGCCUCAGUUUCUCCACUUGUCCCUGAACUGCCGUGAUCCCAUUUUGGGAUGUGUAACAACGCCACGUGAGAUUCCCGCAAAGCCCAUUUCCGUGGCUGCUCAGGCACCUCCGGCCGCCCCCGGACCUCGGCCCGCGGCUAUUUCUGGGAAGACAGGUGGCUCCGGACAGAAAUAGAGUGGGAAGUGCCACUGGAACACGCGGAAGGAGGGGAAGCGAGGGAGAUCUGGAGGAAUCUGGAGGGGUCGGAGAGAUGUGGGAUGGAGUGGCGUCUGCAAGGGUGUAGGGUUGGAUGGAGCCGAGUAUGGGGGUACAUAGGGGCAGGGUUUGCAAGGAAGUGGAGUGGGAUGGGGCAGGAUAUGGGGGUACACAGGGGCAGAAUGGAGCAGGGUUUUAAGGGAUGUGGGGCAGGAUGGAGCAGAGCAGUGGUUUGGGGGUACAUAAGGACACCGUUUGUGGGGCCAUGGGGCAGGACACAGGAAGGUAUAGGGGAUGUGGGGCUGGAUAUGAGGGGGACAGGAAGCAGUGGGGUAUUUGGGAGUGUAUAGGGGCCUAUUUUGGGGAUCCAUGGGGCAGGAUGGACUGGGGUACAAGGGGAAUAGGACACAGUGGGGUACAGGCUGUGCUCACGUGGGAGAGGAAGGGCAUGGGGGUGCUGCUGAUGCCCCUGAGGGUGGUGACGGCCAGGUGCUCCAAGGCCCCGGUGGUGGGUGGCUGUCCACAGUGGCCGGGGGCGAAGACUGCCUGUGGUACGUGGACAGAAACGGGUCAUGGCACCCUGGCUUCGACUGCGAGUUCUUCACCUUCUGCUGUGGCACGUGCCAGCAGCGGUACUGCUGCCGAGACCCUCUGCGCCUGCUCACCGAGCGCCAGCAGCGCCACUGCCUUGCCUUCAGCCCCAAGACCAUCGCGGGCAUUGCCUCAGCCGUGGUGCUUUUCAUCGCCAUCGUCACCACCAUCGUCUGCUGCUUCAUGUGCUCCUGCUGCUACCUGUACCAGCGCCGGCAGCACUCCCGCACACCCCUGCAAGGCCCGGAAAUUCCCCUGUCCAGCUACCACCCUGCAGCUCCCCCAGCUCCCUUCCCCGUGGACCCCAAAGCCGGCCCCACACCUCCCCAGCCUGGCUUCACCCCCAUGGCCAUGUACCCCCCGCCCGGCCCUGCUGCCCAGUACCCCAUGUACCCCUCCGGGCCCCCCGUCUACAACCCCACAGCACCGCCACCCUACG